CACACUUUCAGAGAAAUUGGCACGUGAAGAUCAAUGCAGGAGCCUUUCUUUCCAGGAUACCCUGCAGACCUGUUGGGGUUCUCUGAAAUAGCUGCUUCACUCAUGCUCUUAAGUAGAUUUCAACUGCUUUGAUAAGUGAAGUGGAUUUUGCUCAAUUGAAAAGUUGCUCUCAGUUUCACCCCAGAGGUAAUGGCCAGGAUUUCAGAGAGCUCUCUUAAGUGCUGAGAAAGAGAAGAUGUCAUUUGCCAGAAGAUGUCAGAACACAGCAGAGCAGGAAUAGGGGAACUCAUUCCUUGGCAAACUUUAAAGCAGAGGAAGACCUCCCUAUCUCAACUCAUUAUUGCCCAUAAAAACCUCUUCAUGUUGAAUUUCUCUGGCCAGGACAGAUCCUACAUGCAAUCCCGUCACACUCUGAGGAGAACGAGUAUGAUUCCAAACAAAACCAUCAUCUUUUAAAACUUACUCUGAAAAACGGGCCGAACUUGUACUGGCUUUGAUGCGUCCCGACCUGCUCCUUUAUGUUUAUAGGCAGGAAACAAAGACACUGUGAGUAUGUUUGUGUCACAUUUGUACCGCUCAAAUAGCAGUCAAAUAGCCCAGGUGAGAUCCUGCUCCUUCCAUGGAGCGUUUCCACCACGCCCGGUCCUUUGUAGGGGAUGGAUUUACAGCGCAUGGAGCGUCUGCAACCGAGCUCCCACCCCUCCAUCGCUUCUCCUCUAUCCCGCCCCGGGACCGUGCCAUUUAGCAACACUGUUACGUGCCCGUUUCCUGCCUUACUGAGAGUUUCCGUCAUCGAUCCCCAACGGCUCCAUCUCCGCCUUUUCUCCCACACAGAUCCCCCGAGCCCGGGAGCUUCGCCCACCCCAGCCGGGGGCCGCCCGCUCCCUCCCAGCCGCGCGGGGCGGCUGCGGCGGGGCCGGGCCCUCGGGCACCUCCCUCCCUGCAUCCCUGCAUCCCUGCAUCCCUCCCUCCCUGCGUGCCGCGGGAUGCGCUGCCGGGCGGGCGCACACGGACCGGGCUCCCCGGGGGCAGCGGCGGCAGCCAGAGCCAUGUCUCUCCGCGGCCCGGGAGGAACUGAACCAUCGCCGCACAGGAAGUAG
Molecule: long non-coding RNA, 1100 nt
Filed under: Cyanoderma ruficeps (rufous-capped babbler)
Lineage: Eukaryota; Metazoa; Chordata; Aves; Passeriformes; Timaliidae
Description: lncRNA (ENSCRFG00000006993.1)
Source: RNAcentral